GGACGGUUAGCUCAGUGGUUUGAGCAGCGGUGCUGGCAACAAGGACCAACACCGAGGUCGCGGGUUCGAUUCCCGCUCGGUCCC
Molecule: non-coding RNA, 84 nt
Organism: Apaloderma vittatum (bar-tailed trogon)
Lineage: Eukaryota; Metazoa; Chordata; Aves; Trogoniformes; Trogonidae
Source: Rfam